RNAcentral lists this ribosomal RNA (290 nucleotides) under Pelagococcus sp. RCC5695. Its description in RNAcentral is "partial small subunit ribosomal RNA". It matches the Rfam family "Eukaryotic small subunit ribosomal RNA", at positions 729 to 1019 of the family's 1831-position model. The record is from RNAcentral. Lineage: Eukaryota; Pelagophyceae; Pelagomonadales; Pelagomonadaceae.
GUCGGGGCGGGGAUUCUCGACGUUUACUGUGAAAAAAUCAAAGUGUUCAAAGCAGGCUUACGCCUUGAAUACAUUAACAUGGAAUAAUGAGAUAGGACCUUGGCGGUCUAUUUUGUUGGUUUGCACGCCGAGGUAAUGAUUAAAAGGGACGGUUGGGGUUCUUCCUAUUCAAUUGUCAAAAGUGAAAUUCUUGGAUUUAUGGAAAACCAACUGCUGCGAAAGCGUCGAACAAGGACGUUCUCAUUAAUCAAAAACGAAAGUUAGGGGAUCAAAAAUGAUUAAAUACCCUC